AGCUCUAUAGCGUAGUGGCUCGCGCGUUUCACUAGUACUACGUUUUGCACACGUUCCGCGUUCGAUUCGCGCUAAUGCUA
Non-coding RNA from Lenzites betulinus, 80 nucleotides. The record is from the annotation of a GenBank genome assembly. NCBI's taxonomy places the organism in Eukaryota, Fungi, Basidiomycota, Agaricomycetes, Polyporales, Polyporaceae.